UACGUAGGGGGCAAGCGUUGUCCGGAAUCAUUGGGCGUAAAGAGCGUGUAGGCGGUUCGGUAGGUCCGUUGUGAAAACUCGAGGCUCAACCUCGAGACGCCGAUGGAAACCCUCGAACUAGAGUCCGGAAGAGGAGAAUGGAAUUCCUGGUGUAGCGGUGAAAUGCGCAGAUAUCAGGAAGAACACCCGUGGCUAAGGCGGUUCUCUAGUACGGUACUGACGCUGAGACGCGAAAGCGUGGGGAGCGAACAGG
Molecule: ribosomal RNA, 253 nt
Filed under: uncultured bacterium
Lineage: Bacteria
Description: partial 16S ribosomal RNA
Rfam family: Bacterial small subunit ribosomal RNA
Source: RNAcentral